Molecule: ribosomal RNA, 1358 nt
Filed under: human oral metagenome
Description: bacterial LSU rRNA
Rfam family: Bacterial large subunit ribosomal RNA
Source: RNAcentral
CAUUCAAAGAGUGCGUAAUAGCUCACUAGUCGAGUGACCCUGCGCCGAAAAUGUAACGGGGCUAAACAGAUUACCGAAGCUGUGGAUUGGACCUUAUGGUCCAGUGGUAGGAGAGCGUUCUAAGGGCGGAGAAGCAUGACCGUAAGGACAUGUGGAGCGCUUAGAAGUGAGAAUGCCGGUAUGAGUAGCGAAAGACGGGUGAGAAUCCCGUCCACCGAAUAACUAAGGUUUCCUGGGGAAGGCUCGUCCUCCCAGGGUUAGUCGGGACCUAAGGCGAGGCCGAUAGGCGUAGUCGAUGGACAACAGGUUGAUAUUCCUGUACUUCUAUAAAUCGUUUGAGCAAUGGAGGGACGCAGGAGGCUAAGAAAAGCGUACGACUGGAAGUGUACGCCCAAGCAGUGAGUCGGCUGAUGAGUCAAAUGCUUAUCACAGAUGCGACAAGCUGUAACGGGGAGGGAAGUUUAGUACCGAAGUUUCUGAUGUCACACUGCCGAGAAAAGCUUCUAGCAAGAUUUAUAGGACCCGUACCGCAAACCGACACAGGUAGUUGAGGAGAGAAUCCUAAGGUGAGCGAGCGAACUCUCGUUAAGGAACUCGGCAAAAUGACCCCGUAACUUCGGGAGAAGGGGUGCUGGUAGCAAUACCAGCCGCAGUGAAUAGGCCCAGGCGACUGUUUAUCAAAAACACAGGUCUCUGCAAAAUCGAAAGAUGACGUAUAGGGGCUGACGCCUGCCCGGUGCUGGAAGGUUAAGAGGAGAGGUUAGCGCAAGCGAAGCUUUGAAUUGAAGCCCCAGUAAACGGCGGCCGUAACUAUAACGGUCCUAAGGUAGCGAAAUUCCUUGUCGGGUAAGUUCCGACCCGCACGAAAGGCGUAACGAUUUGGGCACUGUCUCAACGAUGGACUCGGUGAAAUCAUAGUACCUGUGAAGAUGCAGGUUACCCGCGACAGGACGGAAAGACCCCAUGGAGCUUUACUGUAGUUUGAUAUUGAGUGUUUGUGUCACAUGUACAGGAUAGGUAGGAGCUGAAGAAUCCGGGACGCCAGUUUCGGAGGAGGCAACGGUGGGAUACUACCCUUGUGACAUGACCACUCUAACCCGCACCCCUUACCGGGGUGGGAGACAGUGUCAGACGGGCAGUUUGACUGGGGCGGUCGCCUCCUAAAGUGUAACGGAGGCGCCCAAAGGUUCCCUCAGAAUGGUUGGAAAUCAUUCGAAGAGUGUAAAGGCAGAAGGGAGCUUGACUGCGAGACCUACAAGUCGAGCAGGGACGAAAGUCGGGCUUAGUGAUCCGGUGGUUCCGUAUGGAAGGGCCAUCGCUCAACGGAUAAAAGCUACCCUGGGGAUAACAGGCUUAUC